AUUGAACGCUGGCGGCAGGCCUAACACAUGCAAGUCGAACGAGUGGCGGACGGGUGAGUAAUGUCUGGGAAACUGCCUGAUGGAGGGGGAUAACUACUGGAAACGGUAGCUAAUCCCGCAUACCAUCAGAUGUGCCCAGAUGGGAUUCGCUGGUGGGGGGGGUAAUGGCUCACCUAGGCGACGAUCCCUAGCUGGUCGGAGAGGAUGACCAGCCACACUGGAACUGAGACAAGGUCCAGAGUACUACGGGAGGCAGCAGUGGGGAAUAGGGCACAAUGGGCGCAAGCCUGAUGCAGCCAUGCCGCGUGUAUGAAGAAGGCCUUCGGGUUGUAAAGUACUUUCAGCGGGGAGGCGUUACCCGCAGAAGAAGCACCGGCUAACUACGUGCCAGCAGCCGCGGUAAUAC
Molecule: ribosomal RNA, 406 nt
Filed under: uncultured bacterium
Lineage: Bacteria
Description: partial 16S ribosomal RNA
Rfam family: Bacterial small subunit ribosomal RNA
Source: RNAcentral